This 468-nucleotide ribosomal RNA is filed under the name uncultured bacterium. Its description in RNAcentral is "partial 16S ribosomal RNA". It matches the Rfam family "Bacterial small subunit ribosomal RNA", at positions 28 to 507 of the family's 1533-position model. The record is from RNAcentral.
GACGAACGCUGGCGGCGUGCUUAACACAUGCAAGUCGAACGGAAAGGCCCUGCUUUUGUGGGGUGCUCGAGUGGCGAACGGGUGAGUGACACGUGAGUAACCUGCCCUUGACUUUGGGAUAACUUCAGGAAACUGGGGCUAAUACCGGAUAGGAGCUCCUGCUGCAUGGUGGGGGUUGGAAAGUUUCGGCGGUUGGGGAUGGACUCGCGGCUUAUCAGCUUGUUGGUGGGGUAGUGGCUUACCAAGGCUUUGACGGGUAGCCGGCCUGAGAGGGUGACCGGCCACAUUGGGACUGAGAUACGGCCCAGACUCCUACGGGAGGCAGAAGUGGGGAAUAUUGCACAAUGGGCGGAAGCCUGAUGCAGCAACGCCGCGUGCGGGAUGACGGCCUUCGGGUUGUAAACCGCUUUCGCCUGUGACGAAGCGUGAGUGACGGUAAUGGGUAAAGAAGCACCGGCUAACUACGCG